Molecule: unclassified non-coding RNA, 391 nt
Filed under: soil metagenome
Description: partial contains 5.8S ribosomal RNA, internal transcribed spacer 2, and large subunit ribosomal RNA
Rfam family: 5.8S ribosomal RNA (bases 1-122)
Source: RNAcentral
GAUGAAGAACGCAGCGAAAUGCGAUACUUGGUGUGAAUUGCAGAAUCCCGUGAACCAUCGAGUCUUUGAACGCAAGUUGCGCCCGAAGCCAUUAGGCCGAGGGCACGCCUGCCUGGGUGUCACACGUCGUUGCCCCCCCAUCUACUCCUUCGGGAUUGCGGGGGGCGGAUGAUGGCCUCCCGUGCGCCUCGUCGCGCGGUUGGCAUAAAUGCCAAGUCCUCGGCGACGCACGCCACGACAAUCGGUGGUUGCGAAACCUCGGUUGCCCGUCGUGUGCGGUCGUCGCGCAUCGAGGGCUCGAAAAAAUUGCCGGGCUCCGGCUCGGCUUUCAACGCGACCCCAGGUCAGGCGGGGUUACCCGCUGAAUUUAAGCAUAACAAUAAGCGGAGGA